CCCAGGUCUAGAAGAAACAAGCCGGGACUCCUGCUAGAUAAUAAUGAAUGACUGUUGCCCUUACAUAACUUCUUCCUAACCUGGGAUUCUUUCCUGUGGGAAUUUCCUUCACCUUGAAUCAGAUGAGGAAGACAGGAUCCCUGCAUUGUCCCUGGAAGAGGAGGCUGGCACAGCUGGCUGAGAUGAUCCUAGCAAUUACCUGUGUACCUGGCCUGGGUUGGGCCAGGACCUUGGACUCAAGACCCCCUCAACUGGCCACCAGUUGUGAGCCUCAGUUUCCCAGUUUCAGAAAUGCAAAUAAAGCCCCUGCCCUGCCUCCCUGGUGAAUUCAUCUGCUCCAAUUCAACACUAAGUCUCUUGACAAGGAUUAGACACAUCCAACAGUGUCUAUCGCACUACUCAGCUUGUGGUAAGGCCUGUUAGGGGAAGAAUAAACUAGCAAGAAAGGGAAGGAGGGAAGAAGUGGGAAGGGAGAGGGGGGUUUCUGAGGGUGCAGUAUGACAAGUGUGUUCUGGGGGGGAGCAGGGACCUGGACACUCAAAGACACAGGCCAUAGCAGCACCAGCCGUGUGACACCUCCACCCCAUGCUGCAGGGCACACCUCAUGUGCCAGGUCCCAUUCAAAGCUGGGGGAGUUUGGCCCAGAGGCCCCUCUGGCACCCAUGGUGAGUGACAGGGAAGCCAGAUGGGAUGGGUAACCAAAACCUGGUACAUAAAGGCAGCUGUUCUUUUUAAAAACCUUUGGAGUUUCUGG
RNAcentral lists this long non-coding RNA (754 nucleotides) under Fukomys damarensis (Damara mole-rat). RNAcentral's name for it is "lncRNA (ENSFDAG00000029032.1)". Lineage: Eukaryota; Metazoa; Chordata; Mammalia; Rodentia; Bathyergidae. The record is from RNAcentral.